UACGUAGGGUGCAAGCGUUGUCCGGAAUUAUUGGGCGUAAAGAGCUCGUAGGCGGUCUGUCGCGUCUGCUGUGAAAACCUGGGGCUUAACCCCGGGCCUGCAGUGGGUACGGGCAGACUAGAGUGUGGUAGGGGAGACUGGAAUUCCUGGUGUAGCGGUGAAAUGCGCAGAUAUCAGGAGGAACACCGGUGGCGAAGGCGGGUCUCUGGGCCGUAACUGACGCUGAGGAGCGAAAGCGUGGGGAGCGAACAGG
This 253-nucleotide ribosomal RNA is filed under the name uncultured bacterium. Its description in RNAcentral is "partial 16S ribosomal RNA". It matches the Rfam family "Bacterial small subunit ribosomal RNA", at positions 524 to 776 of the family's 1533-position model. The record is from RNAcentral.